GUCACCUCUCCUUUGAGCAGAUCCCCAUACUCACUGUCUUGAGGAAUGCGGGGGAGCAGAUGUUAGAGAGUCAAAAAUUUGUGCUGCCUUUGUCUGGUUUUGGUAUCAGAGAAAUACUGGCCUCAUAAAAUAAGUUGAGAAUUGUCCUCUCCUCUUCUGUUAUCUGGAAGAGAUUGUGUAAAAUUGGUAUUAAUUCAUCUUUAAAAGAGGUACUGCUACUGGUCCCUCCUCAUCCCCACCUCUACCUGCUGUCCUGGUGUUUCUGGGUGAGGGAGGAGAGUCUCAGGCCUGUAGGGACAAAGAGGCUUCCCAGACCAGUCUACUGGGUCUCUCCUGCUAACUCUGCCUACCUACCUCAGGAUCUCUCAAUGGAAAAAGGGAGUACCAGCAGAGAAGGCGAGUACCUCCUCUGGUCGCAUAUUUCUGGCAAUCCAUCCCCCUUGCUGGUGGUGUCAGGUUCACUUGAUGUUAUCAGAGGGCCUCCAGUGUGAUCUGGGGAAGGAAUGAGCCUAUCUGGGCUGCCUUCUAUUCUAGGUUGAAACUUAAGAAACUCCUGGUCUGUGUGGCCUUCCUCUGUUGGGUAGGGGUACAUGAGACACCCUGCAACUGUGUUGUUCCUGCAAUCCUGGGGUCCCAAACCACCUUGCAUUCUUCUAACCACAUUUCACAUUUCUCUCUUGAUUGUCUUUUACGCCAAUUCUGUGAUUUAUAGUUGUACUUAGCAGGGAGAAGCAGGGAAAAACAAGUCUACACCAUCUUGUCCUGCUUGGAAGUGACUUUCACUUUUCACAGAUGCACAAGGACUCACUCAGUUCCAAAAGGUCUUGAAUUACUUGAAUUCUGUAUAAGCAGACAAGGAUUUAACAUGAAGAUGAGAAAGAAGAGGAGACAGAACCAUUCAUCAUUGACUUGAUCUCA
Molecule: long non-coding RNA, 918 nt
Filed under: Equus asinus (donkey)
Lineage: Eukaryota; Metazoa; Chordata; Mammalia; Perissodactyla; Equidae
Description: lncRNA (ENSEASG00005030102.1)
Source: RNAcentral